This 208-nucleotide long non-coding RNA is filed under the name Physcomitrium patens. RNAcentral's name for it is "long non-coding RNA (PPAT_LNC009476)". The record is from RNAcentral. Lineage: Eukaryota; Viridiplantae; Streptophyta; Bryopsida; Funariales; Funariaceae.
GAUAGCAAAUUAGAUAAGGUUUCUAUGAGCAUAGAUUUUGGAUGAUUUGGAGUUGUAAUGACUUUGUAAGAGCUUUACAAAGUCAAGUUUGUUUUUGGAUGACUUGGAUUUUGUGAAAUAAAAUAGGGUUGAUAUUUCUAGUGAUUUCAAGUAUUUUGUAAUAGAUCUAUAAGUGAAAUUUUAUAAAUUAAUGGUCAUAGUUGUGCUU